UUGAGAUCAAUGAGAGUAAUGGAGGAGGCAUCUGAUGUCUGAACAUCAGUGAGAUUUGGACGGUCGGAGAAGGGUCUGAUGUAGUUUGAAGGGACAUGGUUCACACCAGACAUGAGGUCUGUGAGCAGUAGCUUUGUUGUGGAAGCCAUUUUGCUUACGACUGAAGAGAAAAGUUGCAAAACUAAGGAAACUUGCAGGUUUAGUGAACGGGGCUUUGGAUCCCUAUCCCUUUUUAUAGAAUAUGAGGAAGCACUAUUAUAUAGAAAAUGUUUUUUUUCCCCAAAAUUGUCACAUUAGUUUAAGAACUAUAUAUAUGCCUUGAAGGGUAAUUGCUAGAGAGGUUAAAUUUCUAAGUUAAAUUUUGUAAUGCCUUGAAUUAUUAUUUUAGUCUUGAUUAACGUACUUAUUUUUUAUUUAUGAUAUAUCAUUUGGUUUGUAAAUUUAAUUAUAAAUUUUGAUCUUCCUAAUAUUAUCCGUGCUUUGAUUCGUGAAAAGUUUAGAAAAAAAAAAAUAAAAUACACAUAAAAUUAUAGAAGUCAAAGUCAAAUUAUUACUUGUACAAUUAUAAAGCUCCGCUGAGCAAUUGUUUAGCUUGUGUAACAUGAUUUAGCUCAUCAGCUCUUUAAUCUUUAUCGUGCUGGAACAAAAAAUAAAACAAAAAAUUUCGCAUCAAUCCUGCCUUUUCAUGUGAGCUCACUUUCUGCUGCUGGUAUAGUACACGCGAUAGUUUAAAACGUGCCUCUCACGUUCAACACUACAAAAUUCCAUACAGAAUUUAUUGUGUGUUGUACAUUUGAGUGUAACUUUUUCUUGUAUCUCUCAUUCACGUAUUUUGUAUAUAUUAAAUUGGCGAAAAUAAAUUAUUUUUUUAUUUAGUUGAAGUAUAGUUUAUUUUCUCUCUUAUUAUGUAAUAUAUCUUUAUAUCUAAGCUAUCAUAAGCAUAUGUUCUUUCAGUAUAGAGUACAUUUGUUUCUUAUAUCUCUCUCUUCACAUAACGUAAAAAAUGUGUCUAUCUCGUCUAUUCUAACCAUUUGCCCUUUCUCUAUAAAGAUAUGGCAAUGCAAAGGAAACCAUUAGUUAUACGGAUGUAAACUGUACGUGUCUCUCCGUUCCGCGAGUUGAGUUUUAGAUGUUCAGCCCCAAAAAGAGUUGGGUUUGGUUGUUCUAGUUGUCAGGUCGGCAUGCACCAACUGUUGCUGACGCAUGUGAUGGAGAUCCACCACCUUCUCACUAUGGAGUACAGACAGAUUUAUGAGAGGUAGGCAAAUAACAUCUUUCUGCUAUGUCAUUCACUAAUGCAAUUUAUUUGCUUAAAGGAAUAUUCAAUUUAAGAUUUUUUAGUUAAAAUAAUUCUUGAGAUUUGAAUAACAUAUAACUUUAAUCACUGAGAUUUAAAAUUAAUAGAAGUGAUCCAUGAGAUUGUCCACCAUCCAUUAUUUUGGUAAUUUCAUUAAAAAAACUCCAUCAAGUUAAGGGUAUAACACAUAACUUUGGUCCCGAAAAUUUACAUAACACAUAAUAUUGGUCCCUGAUAUUUGCAUAACACAUAACUUUGGUCCCUAAGAUUAUCCACCAUCCAACAUUUUGGUCAUUCCAUUAAAAAGCUUAGGGACAACUUAACAGAGUUUUUUAAUGGAAUGACCAAAAUAAUGGAUAGUGGACAAUCUCAAUGACCACUUUUAUUGAUUUUAUAUCUCAGAAAUCAAAGUUAUAUGUUAUGAAAAUCUCAAAGAUCAAUUUGGCUAAAAAACCUCAAUUUAAUAGAAGAGAAAUGUGAAGGAGAUUUUUAUUAAUUCUCUGUACCUCACAGUUUAACGUCAUUUCUCGUGUUAAUAUUGUAAAUAUUGUGUCAAAAACACAAAGCAUCGAAAAAUUAAUAAAUAAUCUUACUUUGAGAGAGUCUUCUUAGCAUUUCUCAUAAAUAAAUAAAAUUACUUUCGAAACAGUAAGGAAAUAGAAGGAUGAAAUACUUUUUUAAUUGAAAUAGUACUAACCUUUUAAUUUUUAAAAGGUUAGUACUAUUAUGAUUAUAUAUAUAUACACACACGAGCGCCUUUUAUGUAAAUGAAUUUUCAUUUAAAAAAAAAAUGAUGUUUAGAUGUAGGGUUCACACCACAUCAAACUUUAACUAUCUAAAAUUUUUAUUUUAUAAGUCUCAAUUCAUAGAUUAUCCUUAUAAAAAUUCAAUUCAAUCUGAACUCAUUUGCCUAUUUAAUUAUCAAGAUAAAAUUUCAUUGUUUCUUAUAUAACAAAGUAUUCAUUAAUUUAUUUGAACUCAAUUAGAUGUCUUAAACAUUUCCGAUUUGGCUAUAAUAUUUUGUAAGGAUGAUCUAUGAGGUGCAACUUAACAAAUAGACGGUUCCAAUCGUUAAAAUUCGACGUGAUGUGGACCUUACAACUAAUCCUCAUUUUUAUAAAAAAAAAUGAGAAUCCCUUCUUUUAAAUGUUUCAUAUAUAUAAAUAUAACAACAUAAUUUCUUUUGAAUCAGAUGUCAUUUGACAGUUUUGUUUUGAUAUGAGGAAACAUACGGAUGAAAAUAUUGAAUUCAAUUUACAUAGUUUUGUUUUUUUAUUUUGAAAGCUUAAGAAAAAGUUGAAUAAAAAUAGACUAUGUUGUUGCAAUCCUAUUAGAUUAGGAAUGUGAUUUUCUAAAUUUUAGUAGAUAUGGGAAUGUAUCUUAUAUUCCUAUUAGGAGUAGAUUACCUAUUAAAUGUUGUAAUCCUAAAGGGAAAGGUUUUUACCUAUCAUACUACUAUAAAUAAAGGCACAAUGGGGUGUAAUAGAACACACCCACAAUUACACAUCUCUCUUCUUCGCUAUCUAUGCCGCACCCCUCUCUCUUUAGCCUCCUUAAUUAUUCAGUAAAUUAUACCUAGAACACGUUAUCAGCACGCUAUUGACGCUGUGCUACCAAGAGAAUUUAUUCUUUAAUCUGAGGAGUAUUACGUUUUAAUCAUUCUUUUUAUAAUUAAUUUAUUAUUUUAUUGAAUUGAUCUACAUGAUAUUGAUUCAAUUUAAUUUUUUUUUGUGUUGAACGUGAUACAACGCAUUGGAAAUGCUAUUUCGGCUUUCGAGAAGGAUUUUCUACAAAUUCAAAGGCUUUUAUUGUUUUCUGCCCAUCAGGUACGCUUAAAAUAAAGUAAGAUAUUUGAAUCGACCAUGAAGCAUGAAAAUAUUCCUCAUGAUGCAUGAACCCCCUAUGUUUAUAUUUUCCUUCCGAUAUAUAUAUAUAUAUAUAUAUAUAUAUAUAUAUAUUGUAUAUGUUCAUAUAUUUGUUUCUUGCACUACGCAAUUGUAUUUGCUAUGUGGAAUUUGUGAGUCAAAUUAUAUAAAAUAAAUUAGAAGAAAUUUAGGGUUUUCAAACCCUAAUUCUGUCGAAAAAAUAUAUGGGCACUUGCAGCACCACCACCACAGACACCUUGGACCCCUCACAGUAGCAGCCCUAGGGCUUUGCUGCGCUAAUCCAGACCAUUAGACCUUUCGGCCUAUCUCUGUUUAUAGGACAUGCAGUCCCUAAGCCCAAAACCAGCAGAUUAUGGCCCAUUAUCCCGUGUCCCUUGGCCCGUGAACUCACUAGGCUUCGCCCGAAUCUCGACCUACUUGCCAGCAGCUUUGGCUGCUGGGCUUAAGUUGCCUCAGACCUAACCCGCAGGCCAACAUUUUGUUAGGCCUGAUCCGUGCCCCUCCUUUAGCCCAAAGAGCCAGCAGCUACUGCUGCUGGGCUCUAUGUUCUUGGCCCAUGGCCUGAAGACCAUUUUGUGGGCUGCUUUUAUAGCCAUACCCAACCCGAGCCCCUCAUUUGGCUCACGGCACCGAGCCUUAUCUUUUAGGCUAUGGUAUUUUCGACCCAACGCUAUUAUUUAGCAUUUUAAAUCAUUUUAACCCAAAUGUUAUUAUUAAUUUUGCUUCUACGAUCGACCCAGAAUGGUCCCGAUCUAUUGAAUUAAUUAAAAGUGACCUACAGUCCAUUAAUCUGAUAAUGAAUCCAAAAUUAUUGACCCGAAGAUCAUUUUUGGACAUUAACAAUUCAAUAGUAUAUUUUUAUACUUUGAACCGUUGACAUACUUUCGUAUUCCCGAAGCACUCACACUUGAGUUCCUGAAACAACCCAAAUCCACUACACUUAGUUGUAUAUUGCAUUAUGUGUUCUUGCAGGAACCUCUCUUUUAUGAACUAAACGUUCAUAAACUAAAUUGAACCUGUAGUGUUAAAUUUAGUGUCUUUGAAACCUGAAGAUUUCAUAACACAAUAUACCCAUGAAAACCAUGUCUUAUAACUCGAAUGUUCUAACUUUGAUGCUUAUGGAUGAUUCAUUCCCAUAACACCAAUCACAAUCUUGUUCCCUCCAAAUUUAAUGGAUUGUCGAACCGUCACAAGUUUGAUUUCCCUAAUUUGGAUGUUUCUAAUAGAAACUACUUUAUGUGGGGUACAAGACAUGAAUCUCCACUUGAUUAUCAAGAAGCUGAGAAGCCAUUGAAGUCAACAAUAGCAUGGAAGAGCUAAAUAAGCCUCCACCAUGAUCUUCAUUCGAAGACUUAUGCUCAAAGCAUUACAAAUGGAAAUACCUCUUGAUCGAGGAUUCCAUGGCUCUUUAGCUCGCUUCUACGGACUGUCUAAUCAUGAAAGACAUUGCCUAAAGCAUACCAUGAUUAGGUCCAUGAAUGAGUACAAUUCUGAAGUUUAAAAUCCGAUCGAAUUUUGACUGGAGAAUACUUUUCUCAUUUUUCCUUGUUUCUAAAUCGCCCCUAAAGUAGCAGUGUAGAUAGCGGAAGUUUACCAAAUUCUCGAAUCUAAUUACUACCAUAAACGUGAGAGAAAGGUAUGGACCCAGUUCGGCUGGAGUCUACCGAAUAGCUCGACCCAGUUCGAUCAAAGCCUACCAAAUGGUGAUACACUGCUUUGGCAGGGAUACACCGAAUGGAAUAUUCUCUCACAAUCCAAUUUUGAGUUUGUUUUUACAACAUAUGGUAGAAUCAGGGCCUGCCAAGGUGUGCAUCAUGCCCGAAGCAUGAUCCUUGGUACCUAAGACCUAAAACUUCAAGAAUAAGGGAUAGUAUUCCUAAAGCCUUAACCCUGCAGAAUCUAUUUCCGUCUCGAUGAAAUAGAUCAUUGGUUAUGUACCUAUUUGUGCCCCUACCAAUGUUGUUGAGGAGUACCAUUUUAGUAGUCAAUAUGUGAGACUAACUUUGCUUCACCAAACACCAUUGGAAGAAUAAAAUUUUGACAUGGAUGGCCUUGUUGGCCGAAUCCCCUUAGUAAACCAUUUACUUUAUGAACAUUUUUCCAUGUUCUUGGAUUCAUGUUUAGUGUAUGUUUUACUUAUGGAUAAUCUUAUUAAUAUUGUCCUCGACCAGCUGCAAGAAUCUGAUGGUCAGAUUUUACUUGAUCAUCAGAGGUUUAUGGGUUUGUUCCAAAGGCAUGUAUUGCCUUCGUUUUCUGCGGCUGUACCGCGUAAUGAAGCUCCAAAUGAUCGACCUUCGGUGCCUCCUCCUUCUGGGGUUCUACCUAGUACUGAGGCUUCGAAUAAUCACCCUUUGGUGCCUCCUCUUUCUGGGGCUCUGCCGACUGCUGAGACUUCUCUUGAGCAACCUUUGUGAAUGCUCCCUCUUGUUUGUUUAUUUUGAUUCAUGUAUAUGUACAUAUUUGUAACUUAUCGGAGAUAUCAAUCAACAAGCUUUGCUUCAUUUCAACGUAUUGUGUUAAAUACACCAAGGCCUUCUUCACUAAGUUCUUUGAAUUUUUCCUUAUGUUGAAGCUUAUAUGUUGAAGCUUUGUGAAUGAAGCAUGCAGGUUGAGGUAUUGCUCCCUUAAUUUCCUGAGUGAGGAAAACUUCUCGUUUGGAGACUUGAAAAAUCCAAGUCACUGAGUGAUCGUGAGACUUCUGAGUAUCAAGGUGCAGUAGCAUAUGGUAGGAGUCCCCCAAGUCUCCGGUCGAGGGAGUUGACGAAUGAGGCAUUUCCUUUCUAAGUGGUAGCCCAAAACUCCUUCUUCAUAUAUAUUUGUUAUGAAAGUUGUUAGGCCCAAAGAAGAGGAGGCCUAGGCAAUUUUUUUUUUCGAAAUUUGUUUUUUCGAUUUUUUUUUUCGAAUUUUCGAAUUUUUGAAUUUCCAAAUUUUUGAAUUUUCGAAUUUCCAAAAAAAAAAAUUAAAUAUAUAUAUAUAUAUAUUUUAAAGCUUUGUAGGUGAAGCUUUGGUGUUGAAUCUUUGUAGGUGAAGCUUUGAGGUUGAAGCUUUGUUGGGCGCCAUGAAUUGAUUUUGCUUCACACUAUCUUGAUCAAGAUAGUGUGAAGCUUUUGUAGGUGAAACUUUUGUGUUGAAGUUUUGCAGGUGAAGCUUUUGUGGGUCAAGCUUUUGUAGGUGAAGCUUUUGUGGGUCAAGCUUGUGUAGGUGAAGCUUUUGUGGGUCAAGCUUGUGUAGGUGAAGCUUUUGUGGGUCAAGCUUUUGUGGGUUGAAGUUUUGCAGGUGAAGCUUUUGUGGGUCAAGCUUUUGUAGGUGAAGCUUUUGUGGGUCAAGCUUUUGUGGGUCAAGCUUUUGUAAGUGAAGCUUUGGAGUUGAUCAAGAUAGUGUGAAGCUUUUGAGAAUUUGUAGUUGUCCUCCAUUGAUGAAACUUUUGUUGGUGAAGCUUUUGUUUUGAAGCUUUGUAGGUGAACCUUUGGAGUUGAAGCUUUUUUUGGAUACCAUGAAUUGAUUUUGCUUCACACUAUCUUGAUCAAGAUAGUGUGAAGCUUUUGAGAAUUUGUAGUUGUCCUCCAUUGAUGAAGUUUUUGUUGGUGAAGCUUUGGAGUUCAAGCUGUUGUUGGGUACCAUGAAUUGAUUUUGCUUCACACUAUCUUGAUCAAGAUAGUGUGAAGCUUUUGAGAAUUUGUAGUUGUCCUCCAUUGAUGAAGCUUUGUUGAAUUUCCCAAUUUUUUUUAUUUUUUAUUUUUUUUGGGAAACUAGAAAUUUGAAAAUGUGGGAGAGACAACAUAUACAAAUUUUGCUUCCACACUGUUGAGCAAGAGAUUGUGAUGCAAGCCACACCUUGUCGUAGUCGAAGGUUUGGAUGAACCAUAUAAAUUGAAUUUGCUUCGAACAGUCUUGAAUUUGCUUCGAAGGUUUGAGAAUUGUAGUUGCCCUCAAUUGAUGAAGCUUUUGUUGGCACCAUAAAUUGGUUAUGCUUCACACUAUCUUGAUCAAGAGUGUGUGAAGCUUUUGAGAAUUGUGGUUGAAAUCAUUUGAUGAAGCUUUUGUUGGCACCAUAAAUUGGUUUUGCUUCACACUGUCUUGAUCAAGAGUGUGUGAAGCUUUUGAGAAUUGUGGUUGCCCUCCAUUGAUGAAGCUCUUGUUGGCACCAUAAAUUGGUUUUGCUUCACACUGUCUUGAUCAAGAGUGUGUGAAGCUUUUGAGAAUUGUGGUUAAACUUCUUUGAUGAAGCUCUUGUUGGCACCAUAAAUUGGUUUUGCUUUACACUGUUUGAUCAAGAGUGAGUGAAGCUUUUAAGAAUUGUGGUUGAACUCCUUUGAUGAAGCUCUUGUUGGCACCAUAAAUUGGUUUUGCUUUACACUGUCUUGAUCAAGAGUGUGUGAAGCUUUUGAGAAUUGUGGUUGCCCUCCAUUGAUGAAGCUCUUGUUGGCACCAUAAAUUGCUUUUGCUUCACACUGUCUUGAUCAAGAGUGUGUGAAGCUUUUGAGAAUUGUGGUUGAACUCCUUUGAUGAAGCUCUUGUUGGCACCAUAAAUUGCUUUUGCUUCACACUAUCUUGAUUAAGAGUGUGUGAAGCUUUCUACGAGUUGUAGUGUUUGCAUUGUUACAGAGGGGAAAUGUUUGAAACAGAUGCAAGAGGGCUGAAUAGCUUGAUCUUCGUAUGCCAUGCACUGAAGUUGUUGUUGGCUUGUAAUAAGACUUUGUUGGUGACUAUAACUCUUGUUAGGCAUAAGUGCUCCCCUAGUUGAGUUGUCAAGCUUGAGGGUUUUUGAUUAUUUGUGAAUGCUAGGAGUUCACAUGUACAAGUUGUACCACUCCUCUUCUGGUAGGUGUAAUGAAUGGUGAGUUACUUUCAUCACUUGGUUGGUGGUACGAAUGUGAGUUCCUUCAUCACCUUUCAUCACAUUUCAUCACCUAGUUGGUGGCACGAGGAUGAGUUCCUUCUUCACCUGGUUGGUGGUAUGAAUGGCAAGUUGCCAAAUGAUAUUAGAGUACAGGUUGUACAUUUCAUCACCUAGUUGGUGGCAUGAGGGAGAGUACAGGUUGUACAUUUCAUCACCUGGUUGGUGGCAUGAAGAUGAGUUCCUUCUUCACCUGGUUGGUGGCAUGAGUGGCAAGUUGCCAAAUGAUAUUAGAGUACGGGUUGUACAUUUUAUCACCUGGUUGGUGGCAUGAAGGAGAGUACGGGUUGUACAUUUCAUCACCUGGUUGGUGGCAUGAAGAUAAGUUCUUUCUUUACAUUUCAUCACCUGGUUGGUGAGAAUAAUGGCAAGGUGUUUAGGCACAUUGUAGCAAGUGUCGAAUGAUACAAAGUAUGUUAAACCCUUUCAAAGCACAGUUGGCUUAUAUAUGAAUGUGUUGGAAUGUAUGAUUGAACGAAUAUACUGUGAAGCUGUUCGUUUAUUUGUAUAGUCCUGUUGACAUAUACUUAGACUUUGUUUCAUGUUGGAAGCAUUCAUGUUGAAGCUUUGAACCCGAGUGUUUCAUUGCUAGGAAUGUAAGAGGAUUAGGAUCGAGUUAUCUAAAUCACCAUUUUAUUGAAUUCAUGCCAAAUAGUCUUUAUUACAUAGGAUGCCGAACGGCUGAAGCUUAACACUUGUACAAUGUGAGUUUACUUGUAAUAGUACUUCAAGUGAUCAGCGUUCCAUGGAUGGCCAAGGGUCUUGCCAUCGGAGCUUCUAAGCUUGUAGGAGCCAGGGCGACUGAUGCCAACAACUUCAAACGGUCCAUCCCAAUUUGGACUAAGUGUUCCUUCACUCGGGACUCUGUCGCAGAGUAAUCUUUUCUUUAAUACCCAGUCCCCUACUUUAAAAGAACGAGGUUUGACCCUGGAGUCAUAGUAGUUGGAGAUGCGCUGCUUGUAGGCGACAUUCCUCAAGUGAGCCUGGUUUAUGUGUUCCUCAACUAAAUCUAAGUUGAGGGUAAUUUGUUUGUCAUUUUCGCUUUGCAUGUAGUUCUGGACUCGGAACUUUGCUUGCUCAAGCUCAACUGGGACAACUGCCUUUGUACCAAAGGCAAGUGAGAAUGGGGUUUCUCCUGUUGAUGUUCGAUAUGAAGUGCGGUAUGACCAAAGAACUUGGGGUACAAAUUCUGGCUAACAACCUUUAGCCUUGUCCAAGCUGAUUUUCAAAGUUCGCUUGAUUAUUUUGUUGAUGGCUUCAACUUGUCCAUUAGACUGGGGAUGAGCUGGAGAGGUAAAACAUAAGUUGAUGUUGAACUUAGAGCAGAACAUCCUGAACUUAUUGUUGUCGAACUGUCGCCCGUUGUCAGUGACUAUCGGAUUGGGAAUGCCAAAUCUGCAAAGGAUGUUCUUCCAUACGAAGUCUUCUAUUUUUGCCUCAGUAAUGGUUGCCAAGGGUUCUACUUCGGCCCACUUUGUGAACUAGUCAACUGCAACUAUUACAUAGCGGACAUUACCCUUCCCUGCAGGCAUUAGGCCAAUCAAAUCAAGUCCUCAUUGGGCCAAGGGCCAAGGGCUGAUCAUAGGAGUGAGCGGCUCGGGAUGAGAGUGAGGAAUAGUUGCGUAGUGUUGACACUUAUCACAUGAGCGAGAUAUUCUGAUGGCAUCUUGGUGGAGUGUUGGCCAGUAAUAUCCUUGGCAAAAAGCCUUGUGUGCUAGGGAUCAAGAUCCAGCAUGAUCUCCGCAGACUCCUUCAUGUAUUUCUCGAAGGACAAUUUCCGCCUCUGCAUACGUAAGGCAUCUUAGGUAUGGUAGGUUAAAACCCCGUUUGUAGAGUUGGUCAUUAAUGAUCAAGUAACGGGUAGCCUUGUAUCGAAUCUGCUUAGCUUGGACUUUGUCAUUUGGAAGAGUGCCAUGAGCAAGGAAUCUAUAAAUCGAGGUAAUCCAACUAUCCCCCUGUUGUAAGUUGUACACUUCUACAGCCUUGGUGCUGCCAACAAUUCGACCUGAAUUUUUCUUCCAAUCUUGUCUUCCACCGCUGAGGCGAGGUGAGCCAAAGCAUCUGCAUGACUGUUUGCCGUUCGAGAAAUUUGGGUGAUCUAGUAGAGGAAGUGCUUGAGCAACAAUUGUGUUUGUGCCAGAUAGGCUGCCAUGGAGCUAUCCUUAGCGUCAAAGUUGUUGGUGACCUGGUUAACCACCAAUUGGGAGUCACUGAAAAUAUCAAUUCGUUUAACCCCAAGGUGUUUAGCCAAACGUAAGCCUGCUAGGAGGGCUUCAUAUUCGGCCUCAUUAUUCGACGCCUUGAAUUUGAAAAGAAUAGCAUACUCCAUCGCCACUUUGUCAGGGGUUGUAAGGACUAGUCCUCCUCUACAACCCUGUUGGUUGGAUGAGCCAUCAACAUAUAGACUCUAUGAUGGGGCUGUUGGUUCUAUUUUCUGAGCUUCCGAGGGUAAUGAAACCACUUCUUUAGGCAUAGAAACAAUGUCAACAGGAUAUGUGAAGUCGGCGAUGAAGUCUGCCACUACUUGGCCCUUCUCAGCUAGCUUUGGUUGGUAGGAGAUGUCAAACUCACCCAAUGCUAUCGCCCAUUUGAUCAUUCGCCCGUAAGUUUCAGGACUUUGGAGUAUCUAUCGAAGAGGAUGAUUAGUAAGCACAAUGAUGAAGUGUGCUUGGAAGUAAGGGCGAAGUUUUCGAGCAGACAUGACCAAUGCUAGAGCCAAUUUCUCAAUGUUGGAGUAUCGUGUCUCCGCAUCUUGUAAGGCAUUGCUAGCGUAGUAGACAUGUCGUUCGACAUUACCAUUCUUUCGAAUGAGUACGGAAUUUACUGCUGAAGCCGAUACCGACAGAUAGAUAAUGAGAGUGUCACCAACCUCAGGUUUGGAAAGCAUAGGGGUUUUACUCAUGUAGUCUUUGAGGUUCUUGAAUGCCUCAGCACAUUCAUCAGUCCAUGUAAUGUACUUCUUACUUCUCUUAAGUGCUUUGAAGAAGUGAGCACAUCUGUCUGUGGCCUUAGAGAUGAACCUAGUUAAGGCUGCCACCUUGCCAGUAAGGCUCUAGUUGUUUUUUAAAAUUACCGGUUCCUUCAUGUCGAGGAUUGCUUUGAUCUUCUCGGGAUUAGCCUUAAUGCCUCGUUGGCUUAUCAUGAAGCUUAAGAAUUUGCCAAAGCCUACGCCGAAGGCACAUUUGUUGGGGUUCAAUCUCAUUCAAUACCUCUUCAAAAUGGUGAAAGUUUCAGAUAGGUUGGUGAUGUGUUGGUCAGCAUGUUUUCUCUUGACUAGCAUAUCAUUAACAUAAACUUCCAUGCUCUUCCCAAUCUAUUCAGCGAACAUUGAAUUGACCAGUCUCUGAUAAGUCGCUCCUGCAUUCUUUAGGCUGAAAGGCAUGACUUUACAACAAUAUAGUCCCCUGUCAGUAGUGAAGGCUAUGUGUUCUUGGUCCGGAGGGUUCAUGAGGAUUUGGUUGUAUCAUGAGUAAGCAUCCAUGAAGCUCAGAAGUUCACACCCUGCCGUAGAGUCUAUAAGUCUGUCUAUGAGAGGAAGAGGAAAGCUAUCCUUCGGGCAUCAUUUGUUUAGGUCGGUGUAAUCGACACACAUUCUCCACAAGACCUUUUGGAGCAGGAGACUUUCCUUGGUCAGAUUCUUCUUAACAAGGACAACAUUUGCUAUCCACGUUGGAUAAUUGACUUCGCGGACGAAGCCUAUGCCUUUGAGUUUUUCAACUUCUGCCUUCAUUGCCUCGUACUGUUCAGCGUUAUAAGAUCUUCAUUUCUGUCUCAUUGGCUUGGUCUUGGGUCAAUACUUAAGCGAUGACAGAUUAUAUCGGGAGAGAUGCCUGGCAUGUCCUCGUAUAACUAGGCGAAAACCUCAGUGUUCUCUUGCAAAAAAGAGAUCAAUGCCAACCGAAUGGGUGGUAACAAGGUGGUACCAAUCUUCACCAUGUUAUCUGGAUAAUCUUUUGAGAUAGAGACCUUCUCUAACUCUUUAGCGGGUUGUGCUUACUGGAUGAAAGAGUCAUCUCGAGGAUCAUCGGGUUGACUAUUGCCACCGUGAAGAUCCAAGUUGGCUUCGUCUGGGCUGGUCUUUAUGACUUGGUCAUGUAUAGAAAGGGUUUCCUUGGGCACAUACAGGUGCUGUUGCUUGACCGAAGUGUUGUAACAUGAUCGUACACUAAGUUGAUCUCCUCUGAUGUAACCAUUGCCAUAGGGGGUUGGAAAUUUCAUCAACAACAUAUGUGUGGAUACCAUGGCCUUGAGAUUAUUGAUGCAUGUGCGUCCGAAGAUGACAUUGUAUGUCGUUGGGUAAUCAACCACCAGGAAGUUAGUGGUAAUGGUAGCUGUGUAAGGGCCUAUACCAAUGGUGAAAGGUAAGUGUAUGCUUCCCAAAGGUUGCACGAUAUCACCGGAGAACCUUAUCAGAGGGGAAAUCGAGUGGUCGAGCAAGUGUUCAGCUACAUUAAGUGCCCUAAAAGCUUCAGCAAACAUGAUAUUGACCGAAGCCCCCGUGUCUACCAGGAUUCAUCGUACUUCAAAAUUGGUUAUGUGAGCUUCCACGAUCAGUAGGUUGUUGUGAGGGUAGAUGAUACCUCUUUCUUCCUCAGGGUAGAAACAUAUUGGAUCCCAGUUAGGCUUUUGAUACUUACCUCCCCUGAUGUCUUCCACGUGAAACACUUGGUAGCCAGACCUUAAAGCUCGUUCACUAUUUUUCAUGGCCCUGUUGGAAGAUUUAGAUAUGGGUGUGCCACCACUUAUCGAAUAUCACAUUCACCUGGCGUUGGUUAUGGUUACCCCUUAGAGGGUGAAGGAGGAAUUGUUCAAUUUUUCUUUCACGUGCCGAAGCUUCAACAUGAUCACGAAGGGUGAUAAACUUCUCGCCGUCAUGGCCGUUAUGCUCGUGGUAGCAGCAAAACGUGCCCGUGUUCUUCGUGGGCUUGUAAUCUGGGUGCCUCGACUUUGGCUUUGGUAUCAAGCAUGCUAUGCAGGGGUAAAUGGCCACGCAUGUGGCGUUCAAGGGUGUGUAUGACUCAUACCUCAGGGUAGGGGCUGUCCUGACACGUGCUUGACCCACUGUGUUGACUGCCUGGGGCUGGGGAUUAUCACGGCGAUACCCUUGGUUAUCGCAGUAGUGUCCCUUACUCCUUUUACUAAAAUGAGACUGGUGAGGAUGUAAAUCUUUCCUUUUUCCCUGAGAUUGAUAUGUUUGUUGACUUGGCAAAGUAUUAAGUAAGGCAGAGGGAGGCACCACUGCUGUUUGGAAGUUCGAUGUCUUUUCAUUUGGUUGGAUCUGGCUUCCACUCCCUACUUGCUGAUAAGGGGUGGCUGUGGGGGGUUUUCCUUAAUAUGUCUUUGCCUCGGCGGAGGCAUGGUUGUAAGCAUGUGCCAUCACCUCAGAGUAAGUCUUCCAAGUGUUGGCAUUGAUCAUGUACUUAAAGAAACAGUCACGUAGGCCUGCCGUGAAGGCUUUGAGGGCAGUCUUGUCGUCUGCCUCGGCAUAACGGGAAUACUCAUGGCUGAAGCGGCCAGCAUACAUACAUAAUGACUCGUCUGACUUCUGGCGAAUAGUGUACAAGUCAUCUGCAGAAUGCAAGCGAUCGGUCUGGAAGAUAUGUUGAGAGACAAACAGUUUCCUCAGUUCCUCAAAUGAGUCUAUUGUCUCAGGUGGAAGACGGCAAUACCAGUUUAGAGCUCUGCCAGAGAGGAUGGAGGAGAAGAGAAGACAUCGCUGUUCGUCGGUGUGCAUCUGAUAUGCCAUGGUGGACUCAAAAAGGUUAAGGUGUUCAAUUGGGUCCUCCCUUCCAGUAUAGAGUUGUAAACCAAGCUUUUGUUUUAUCUUCGCUUGAAGGGGGGUGUCGAGGAUCCUUCUUGUGAGAGGGCCAGGCCUAGGUUGGUUCCAGUCAAGUAUCUCUGCCUGACGUUCAGCCUUCAACUUGUUUACUUCCUCAAGGAGCUGUAGAACAUGGGGGUCCUGAGUGGAGACAUGUACCACUGGGAUUUUCUUUCGUAAGUCUCCAUCGCCUCUUGGAAGUAGGAAAGUUUGAGCAAGGGCGUGUGAUUUUUCCUUGGACUCGCCGUAUUGACUUCUAGGGCAUGUGAUUUUUCCAUGUACCCAUGUACCUUCAUGUUCCUCUGGGACUUGUCGUUCUUUCCCUAGAUUAGCAGCUGGCCUAGGUCAUGGGUGGAAACCGAGUCUUUCAGAAACCCUUGGGUUAUUGAUCUUAGAGCAUAUGUGGAGGGGAUUCUCUUGACGUUGCUUUAGGAAGUCUCGGCAAUCACGAUAAACGGCUUUCGAUCCUUCCAACCCUUCUGCAAGGAUGUGUCUUCCUCUAUUUCUCCUGCUUCAGGUCGAAGCAGCUGGGUUGAGAGAAGUCUCAUGUUGAUCAAUGUUUUGAUGAUUAGCUCGCUCCUCAUCAGGGAUACCCAUGUCGAAGGAAGGUGACCUUCCGUGUUGGGGGGCACCCAGGUGAUGAUUGAUGUCCACAGGGGUAACGAGCUCGCAUGUUUGAGUACGCCUAGUUUCGUGGAGCAUCUCAAAGAGCUUCUCAUACUCCUCUUGGAGGACCUCAUUCUUCAUUGCUAUCUUGUUGUUCUGAGCUUCUAACUCAUCGACUUUAGCUUGAAGAGCAACCCUCUUUCCUUCAUUCUUUCGUUGCUUCAUACUAGGUGCAAGAUGGGUGUCAUUCUGUGUGUUGUGGCUUCCUUCGCUCCCCAUGUUAGAGACAGAUGCCUGGUCAAAAGAGAGUGUAUGGAUGGUGGAAACUAUCUUGACAAAGCUGAAGAGAGUGGGAAUAAGUGUCGUUCUCAUAGACGGUGUCAAAUGUUGAUGCACAAAAUCAGCGAGGACUUUGGUACAACAGAAAGUGUUAAGUUUGUAACCUUCGCUAGAUUGCUCCGGUCACUAGUGUGGGUAAGUAUGUAAUAGAUAGGGACAGGGAAGCAAACACAAUAUGUACGUGGUUCACCCAGAUUGGCUACGUCCACGGAGUAGAAAAGUUCUCAUUAAUUGUGAAGGGUUUACACAAGUACAUAAGUUCAAGCUCUCCUUUUGUGAGUACUGGUGAAUGAUUUAGUAUAAAUGAUAUUAGGAAAUAUUGUGAGAGAAUGAUCUCUAUUUAUGGAAUAAAGUUUUUAGUUUCAUUCUGACAUUGACACGUGUCGUGUUGUGAUUGGCUUCUGAUGUUGACACGUGUCGCACUAUGAUUGACUUCUGAUGUUGACACAUGUCGCACUGUGAUUAGCCUCCUGGUUGUAGGGAAACUAACUCUUCUGGGUCCUUGAUGGUAUAACGUUGACCGAUGCUCAGUAGUUUCGGGAUUGGUCAAGUAUGGUACAAACAACUUCUCUACCACAAUGAGAAAAUAUUUAUACAUUUUAUUUUUUCUUCUUCUGCCUUAUCUCUCUUCCCUCUCGGCAUUCUCCCCGACUGCUACUCCCGUUCUAACAAAAAAACCAAAAAUCAUCAAUUUCAUCUCCUCCUCCAAAUCAACACUGCCAUGCAUUAAUUUUAAUUCGCACCCGAACUCUUAGAACCCUCGAACUCAGUUUGGUGGGAGAGAAAGCAGAAACUAGCCGAAAGCCCUAUUUGGUUAGGUUUUUAUAUAUUUGAUAAUUAUUAUUUCUUCGCUGUUGUAGGCCUUAGUUUAUUAGCCGCUUUCUACAUAGGUCUUUGUUUAUUAGCCCGAGUAAUGUUAGGGAGAUCAAAUUUUUUAAAUCAAAUGAUAUGGUUGUAGAUGAUUAGCUUAGUAAUUAAGUAUCGAUUUGUUUCUUAUUUGUAACACAUUAUUUAAUUUUCAAGUUUAAUUUCUAAAAUAUAAUCUCCAUAACAUUAUCUUUAUUAGCCACUUGUUGGCAUAGGUCUAAAAAAUUAAUAAACAUAAAUUACAACCUGUGUGGCUAUGUCAGCAAGUGGCUAAUAAACAUUUUUAAGCAACAAUUAAGGUUGCUAAUAAACAUAGGUUGAUCUAGUGAUUGAAAUUUAUAUCGUUCAUCAAAUCUAAUGAUCAUAAGUGCUCUGUCACUCCGGCUGCUCCGGAAAAAAAAAAUCAUAAAAUGGUUGACACAACAUUUUGGUGGAAAAAGAAAAAACAAGAAAUUACUCAAACUAUUUAUUUUUUAUUUUUUUGGGGGCAGAAAAUAGAACUUAAUCUUUGAGCUAGAGUUCUUGAAUUCUGUAGAUAAAGUAGCAAAUCCGCUUUGAAAUCAAAUUUGAGAUUUCAAAUUUCUAUAACUGAAAUGUUCAAGUUUAAGCAGGGGCGGAGCCACCAAGGGACUAGGGUAGUCCCCGGCCCAUCCUGACUUCAUUUGAGGUGUGAACCUCAUGGAAGAAGAUGAAGCAAAUGACAUCAUUAAGCUGUUUUGAUUUUAAAUCUUUUCGGCUGUCUAAUGAAACGAUAAGUUUGGCAGGGGAGUUUUAAAAGAGAUGCACAAUUUUAAAUGGAAAAAGCAACCCCACUUCUGAUUCGAUUCUCUCACCUAACAGUAAUAUACACCCUAUAAUUUUCUAAAGCAACCCACCUUCUUUAUUAGCAGACCUCUUCCCCUUUUCCUUCUUUUUCUACUUCUUUGUAUUUUCUUUAGCCUUCCACAACCUUCCACAACCUACCUCUUACUUGGUUGUCUUAGUUUUUACAUUUUUUUCUUCUUAGUAUUGAAUUUAAGAGAUUUUUUUCAGUUUUGUGAGGAUUACACAAAUUGCAUAUGUCAACAUGUUAUGAAUUCAAAUUUUUACACACACUCAUAUACAUACAUAUUUGUGAAAAGCCCAUCCUCAUUCAUAAUUCUGGCUCCGCCACUGAGUUUAAGUAGAGUAGAUAUAUAGAUGCAGCAGUCCACGUUUUAUAGAAGUGACUUCAAAUAAGUUAUGUUGAGUUUGGCAAUGUUUUAGAAUCCGACGGUCCUGAUUGUCAUAUUAUUGCAUCAAAAUUGAGCCGUUUUACUCUCUAUUUCUCUCUCACACUCUCUUUUUCUAAGAGCAACUCCAGCGUUGCUGGUUGCUCAGGGGACAGGCAAGGAGAAAGGACCCGACGGCCGGGGGAUGGGGAUCCAGCGUUGCUGGUUGCUCGGGGGACAGGCGAGGAGAAAGGGCCCGAGCGACAGGCCCGAGCGAGGAUUGCCAGCCCGAUAGCCUGAGGGCUGUGUGACGUAUGGCUGAUGUGCGGCAUCGAUGCAUGCGCUCGGUGUUCUCUGCGUCCUCCUUCCUCCUUCCUCCUCGUCCUCCUUCCCCUCCUCGCCCUCCUUCCUCCUCGGUGUUCCAUGGCUGCUGCUGAGAGAGAGAGAGAGAGAGAGAGAGAGAGAGAGAGAGAGAAAGGACCGGUCCUCCUUCCUCCUCGGUGUUCCAUGGUUGUUGCUGUGAGAGAAAGAGAGAGAGUACCGGUCAAAAUUAGGAAAAAAUAAUAAUAUUUUAUGGAUUGGGUGAGAAAAAUAAUAAUAUUUUAUGGAUUGGGUGAGAAAAAAAAUAUUAAUAUUUUAUUACUAAUUGCCAGGGGGAAGGGUUUCAAGGGUGGAGAUGCAAAUGGCAAUUACUAUUUAUUAAGGGCAGUUACUGUUCACUAGGUGGAUUGAAUAGUGGAUUGCCAGGGGGAGGGCUCCAAGGGUGGAGUGCUCUAAGGGAUGUGAUAGACACACACUCCAUUUUACUUUUCAAACACCCUUUUAAUUUUCGACCGUUGGAUCGGAUAAAUUGAAGAAAAUCAACAGAUAUAAAUUAAUAAAGAGUGUAUGAAGUAAUUUGUGAUGUGUAUAUAGCACAACACUUUUCUAAAAGACAACUACUUUAUUAAGUGGAAUGAUUACCAACAACUUUUCGUCUUUUCCAAAUGAGAAUGUCUGCAAGACUGCUACUUUCAAUUUUGUUUGAAACAAAAGUCAUCGUGACUUUUACAAGGUUGAGUGGCUUUGACACGGUGUAAAUCCACACACGGAAUGAGUCACAACUUUAACAUUCUUCAUAUUUAAAAUACAAAAUUAAAAACUAAGAAGUGUAAUACUAGGGGAACAAUUUAAUUAACUUUUGUAAGAAAUAUGACGUAAUUGUUGAUGAUUAAAUUAUUACUUAAGUAUUGAUUAACGUAAUCAUUUUUUAUUAAUGAUAUAGCACAUGCUUUACAAAUUUGAUCUACUUAGCAUUCUUUAAACUAAAAACAGCAAUGUGCAUUUCUUUUGUUCUUUUUCUUGAAAACUUCAGUGAAAUGAUAACUAGGCAACUCAAGUGGACAAUGUUACAUCCCGGACUCCACUCCGCCGUAGCACAAUAUUGUUCGCUUUGGGCCCCCGACCACGCCCUCACAGUUUUGUUUCUAGAAACUCACGAGAGCAGAACUUCCUAGUGAGUCACCCAUCCUGGAAAUGCUCUGGCUCUCCUUAGGGGCCCGACGUCCUUGUCGGCACACAUCUGCCCAGAGAUUGGCUCCGAUACCAAACUGACACACCCCGACCUAGAUCGAGGCAUGAUGGCCAUCACGUGAGGGUGACGUAGCCAUGUGCGUAGUGCAGAAUUGAAAUUAAUAAGAAGAAAUGCGAAUAACCUAGAACCAAGCUAACUAAAUUACACCUAAACACCAUGCUUGCACUUAUGUUUCCUUAGUGUAAAUUAGUUAGCUUGGUUCUAGGUUAUUCACAUUUCUUCUUAUUAAUUUCAAUUCCACACUAAGCAUAUGACUACGUCACCCUCACGUGACGGGCAGCAUGCCUCGAUCUAGGUCGAGGUGUGUCAGACAACACUAUUUGUCCUUGGCAUAGCAAACAUUUGAGGGUCCAAUCUUGCUCAUCACUAUAAACUAUAGUGCAUACUCUAUACUUAAAAAUCUGCUACGUGCCAUUUCACUUAACCUUAAUUAAUCUUCUUCAAAAUUAAAAUAAAAAUUAAUAUAAAAUUAAUAAAUUAAAUGAAAUAACAUGUGAAAAUGAUUGCCCAAAAAAUAACUAAAGGUGCAUCUUUUUGUAUUUCUCACACUUUCUUUACACACUUUUGCUAAAGGUACAUCUUUUUUAUUUCUCACUUGCUUUUCCUAAAGAUGCAUCUUUUAUGUUUCUCACUUUCUUUUUCUAAAGGUGCAUCUUUUCUAUUUCUUACACUGUUUUUUUUUCUUCUAACAGAGAGAGGAUUCUUUUCGGAUUCUCUUUAUGAGAAUUCUAAGGAUCCUUCAAUUAUGUCCGUUUAUCAUAUAUUGUACAACCCACUUUUAUCAGGUAAUGUUUAUAUUAAAUUUUAAAUAAAAAAAUUUACAAUGAUUUUGAAAAUCUUCACACAAAGAAUCCAAGGAGGAUCCUCAUUCAUUAAUAACCACCAAGGUCGUAGCCAUGUUUGAAAUCUGUGUUGUCUUUUGCAUCUGUAGGAUGCAUCGGUAACGAGAUGCUCGUCAUCCGGUAUUAGCAACCUUAAUUGUUGCUUGAAAAUGUUUUUAGCCACUUGCUGAUAUAGGCCUUUGUUUAUUGGAGUAGGAUUAUUUCUUCUUUUUUUUUCCCAUUAUUUUUCCUCUCAUUCUAUUUGAACGAUCACGGUUAAGUCAUAUCAAUAUCUUAUAUUAAUUUUCUAUAAAAAGAGAAAGAUAAAAUAGAGAAUGUGAGAGAAGAGAAGAGAAUGGGAUGAAAAGAGAAAGGAAGAGAAUCCUAAUCCUUGUUUAUCAGCAACCUUAAUCGUUGCUUGAAAAUGUUAAGAGCAUUUCCAAUGAGCUCCCUAUAAAAGUUUCUAGCUAAAAUUUAGGGAGGAAUUAAAAAAAAAAAUCAUCUCCAACCACACUCCCUAUUAUGAUCAUAGGGUGGCAACAAAUCUUGGAGCUCCUAAAUCAAAGGAGUGAAAAAUUAACUGUUUUAAUUAUACUUUAAAUAGAAACUUUAUUCCUAUUCAUUCCUACUAACUCUGACUCUCUAAAUUAGACAAUAUGGUUGGAGUAAAAAUGUUAGGGGAGAUCUUAAGAUAACUUUUUAGUCGUUUAGUUCAAAUUUAACCAAAAAAUAGAGCAUGACUGGAACACACUUCAAGCACGCUCCUUUGGUCUUCCUUUUGACUCAUGUUCGCCUGGACUUGCAUGCCUUUGGGCCUGUUGAGGUUAACCCUGCAUUAACAAAUUAAGGAUUAGAAAAGGGUUAGUAUUUCUGAAUUUCCCUUAAGUUUAAAAUAUUUAAAAUGAUGUCGUUUUAAGAAAAUUCGGUUUGGUUUCCAAAUCAUUGAAAAUAAAACAAUAGAUUUUGGUUCAAUUUGGUUCGAUUUUUCUUUGAUUCGAUUUUUUCCAUCUUUGACGUGCUGUCUAAUUUUGGUUAGGUUUUUAUAUUCAUCAGCCACUUUGAUGUGUUGUCUACGUUUGGUUAGAUUUUUUUUUAUAUAUUUGAUAUUGUUGCAGUCCUAUUAGAUAUGGAAUGUGAUUGUGUAAAUCCUAGUAUAUCUUGGAAUAUCUCUUAUAUCCCUAUUAGGAGUUGAUUACCUAUUAAAUGUUGUAAUCCUAAAGGGAAAGGUUUUUACCUAUCAUACUACCAUAAAUAAAGGCAUAAUGGGGUGGAAUAGAACACACCCACAAUUACACAUCUCUGUCUUCUCUCUCUAUGCCGCACCAUCUCUCUCUAUAUGGCCUUCAUAAUUGUUCAGUAAAGUAUGCCUACAACACGUUAUCAGCACGCUCUUAACGCUAAGCUAAAGUGAGUUUAUUCUUCAAUCAGGGGAGUAUUACGGUCUAAUCAUUCUUUUUAUGAUUAAUUUAUUGUUUUGAAUUGAUCUACAUGUUAUUCAUUCAAUUUAAUUUUUUUUUGUGUUGAACGUGAUCCAACACAUUGGAGAUGCAAUUCCGUCUUUAUGAGAAAGAUCUUCUACAAAUUCAAGGGCUUUUGUUGUUUUCUGCCAAUCAGGUACGCUUAAAAUAAAGGAAGAUAUUUGAAACGACCUUGAAGCAUGAAAACAUUCCCCAUGAUGCAUGAACCUCCUUAUGUUUAUACUUUCCUUCCGAUAUAUAUAUUGUAUAUAUUCAUAUAUUUGUCAAUAUAUAUAUUUGUUUCAUGCAUUACGCAAUUAUAAUUGCUAUGUGGAAUAUGUUAGUCAAAGUAUAUUCAUAAAUUAGAAGCAAUUAGGGUUUUAAACCCUAGGUUCGGAAAAAAAAUUAGGUAUUUUUAAGCACCACCGUGGCGACACACAUUGGGACACUAAUUUGGACCUUUGCGCAGCCCUCUGGGCUUGCUGCCUUCCUUCAACAUUCACCCAGGCCUCAACCUGGGAUGGUUAUCUCAUGGGCCUGAAAGCCCUGGUCCAAAACUCGACCCACAACCUGCAAGCCUGAAGCCAUGCUUGUCACUGUCACGGGCUUGAAGCCCCAACCCGUCUGCACCAGUUUUUCUGGUUCGCUGGACCGGUUUCACUGCCACGACCAGCUUACUACUGGGCCCUUGCCUCGCUCCGACCCGCGCUAGAACAAGCCAGCACGUGCUGGGCUUGUCCAGUGCUUUCAGCCUGCCAGCCCGCAUUUCAAGCUUGCGGCUUGAUUUGUACGAUGGGCUGCACAACAGUUUUUCCAAGCCCACUAGCCGACAAUUUUUUUUUGCUAUGAUGGGCUAUUUGCCUCGACUCGCUACCAAUUGUAGCCAUUGGAGCUACCUUGCAAGAGCGUGUAGUGCAUAACCAAAGUGUGUUGGGCUGUAUUCCUUUUUCGACCUGAUGCUAUAUUUUGGCAUCCCUUGCUUCUUAACCAUACCCAAAUAUUUUUGGACGUUUUUGGUUAAAGUCAUACUAGGCUAUAUUUUCUUAAUUAUUUGGCCCGAAGCCAUCUAAAGUGAAUAUGACUCGAAUGUUAUUCUUUUGCUUCUACAAUCGACCCCGAAUGGUCCUGAUUUAUUGAAUUAAUUAAAAGUGACCUGCAGUCCAUUAAUCUGGUAAUGAAUAAAAAAUUAUUGACCUGAAUAUCACUUUUGGACAUUAACGAUUCAAUAAUUUAUUUUUGUACUUUGAACCGUUGACUUACUUUCGUAGUUCCGAAGCACUCACACUUGAGUUCCUGAAGCAACCCAAAUCCACUACACUUAGUUGUAUAUUGCAUUAUGUGUUCUUGCAGGAACCUCUCUUUUAUAAACUAAAUGUUCAUAAACUAAAUUGAACCUGUAGUUUCAAAUUUAGUGCCUUUGAAACUCGAAGAUUUUAUAAAACAAUACACCUAUGAAAACCUGACGUUUUGUCAUGAAAACCAUGUCUUAAAACUUGAAUGUUCUAACUUUGAUGCCUAUGGAUGAUCCAUUCUCAUAACACCAAUCACAAUCUUGUUCCCUCCAAAUUCAAUGGAUUGUCGAACCGUCACAAGUUCGAUUUUUCUUAUUUGGACGUUUCUAAUAGAAACUACUUAAUGUGGGGUACAAGACAUGAAUCCCCACUUGACUAUCAUGAAGUUGAGAAACCAUUUAAGCCAACAAUGGCAAGAAAGAGCUGAAUAAGCCUCCGCCAUGAUUUUCAUUCGAAGACUUAUGCCCAAAGCAUUACAAAUGGAAGUACCUCUUGAACGAGGAUUCCAUGGCUCUAUGGCUCGCUCCUACGGACUGUCUAAUCAUGAAAGACAUUACCUAAAGCACACCAUAAUUACGUCCAUGAAUGAGUACAAUUAUGAAGUUUAUAAAUCCGAUCGAAUUUUGACAAGAGAAUACUUUUCUCGUCCUUGUUUCUAACUCGCUCCUGAAGCAACUAGUGUAGAAAGCAGAAGUUUUACCAAAUUCUCGGAUCUGAUUACUACCAUAAACAUAUGGUAGAAUUAGGGCCUGCCAAGGUGUGGCAUCAUGCUCGAAACGUGAUCCUUGGUACCUAAGACCUAAAACUUAAAAAACAAGGGAUAGUAUUCCCAAACCUUAACCCUGCAUAAUCUAUUUCCGUUUCGAUGGAAUAGACCAUUGGUUAUGCACCCCUGUUCGUGCACCUACCAAUGUUGUUAAGGAGUACCAUUCUAGUAGUUAAUACGUCAGACUAAUUUUGCUCCACCAAACACCGUUGGAAGAGCAGAAUUUUGACAUGGAUGGUCUUGUUGGAUGAAUCCCCCUUAGUAAACCAUUUACUUUGUGAACAUUUUUCCAUGUUCUUGGAUUCACGUUUGGUGUAUGUUUUACUUAUGGAUAAUCUUAUUGAUAUUGUCCUCGAAUAUGGGUUAAUUGAAUUAUGUUUCUUAAUACCUGUGACCGAUUUAAUUAAAUACAUGAUGAGGUAGGAAUGUGGGAAAGUUUGUUGUCUGGAUGAAUGCGUACUACGCACACUAACUUUACACCUAAAUCAUAUCUCUAACAGCGACUUCAGGUUUAUCCAAUUUGAUUAAGAGCAUUGGCACCUUCCUCGUUGUACGAAUGGUAUUGAAUCACCAUUUAAGGGACCUUAAAUUCUCCCUGAUGUUGAGUUUUUAAGGAUAUUCGAGAUAACAAUGAUCAUAAAUGAACCACUGAAGAAAAUAGAGUGAAAUAUCUUUGCACCACCUCCAAAAAUUAGCCCGAAGCUUUGAUUGGGGGCCAAUGAGUUGUCUCCCAAUUGGGACCACGCCAUAUGUGGCCAGCCUGGAGCCAGGUGAUUCGAGCUGUUUACUUGUUUUGGCAUGACCUUUUGGGACACUUAGGUCGAACAACGAUGUUACGACGCAUCUCCUUACCCGAAGUAAAGAUCUUGUGCCUACAAGCACACUUUGCCAAAACCCGCUCAUUUUGGAAAAUUUGAUUUCUAAAUCAUCCCUAGCAAAGAUAAAAAGUGACUCAUUUUUCACAGUGGAUUCAAGGGAAUAUAUGUGGACUAAUCCAACCAAAAUGCAGACCAUAUAAAUACUUAUGGUUUUGGUUGAUGAAUCGACAAACUGGUCACAUGUUUGUCCACACACAUUACUGCUAAACCUCAUAGCCGAUUAAGGGCUCACCACCCUACUUAUCCCUUAAGGUCCAGGAGACUAGAUAAUGUCGGAGAGUUUAUAUCGAAGGUUUUCAAUAAAGUAUUGCAUGUAUUUUGGGUUUAUAAUUGAACAUCAAAUUCCCAUGUUCACCCCAAAUAGCCUCGCCUAGUGAACAUAAAGCGUAAUUUAAAUGAUCGCCUGAAUUUUGGUAAACGUACCAACUUUUCGAUUUCUGCCCAGGGCUAUGCAAUCCUUGUACGCAGUUAUGUUGGUCCACCUUGAGGCCUAUUGCCACCCAACCUAUAUGACGUUACAGUUGGUUACUAGGUACGAACCUGACGAUUUUCGUAUUUACGUAUUUGGGUGUGCAUUCCAUGUGCCAAGUUGCGCCGCCGUAACGUACCACCAUGGGUCUUCAAAGAAGGAUGUGUAUCUUUUAUCGAUCAUGAUUCUCCUUCACCUUCGCUCUCUUAAAGCCCUUGCACACGAUCUCUUUACUGCUCAUUUGCGGGUUGUCUCUUUAAUGAGACAGUUUUCCAGUCGUUAGGGGGAGAUAAGAACGUUAACGUUCCUGGAGAACGGCGCGAAUUUGCGUGGACGUUGCCCACUAUGUCUCAUAUCGAUCCUCAUACCGCACCAGUGUGAUAAGCAAGUGCGAUGAAUUCUAGAUUUCAGAAUGUUACUCCAGACGGAUUCCUAUGAUCUAGCUAAAGUGAUAAGAUCAUAUACCAGUUGCAAACAUGCCUACAAUGAUAGACGUACUUAACGGACGUCGAGUCAACAUCCCUAGAGCAUGUGCCGUCCUUGUUGGACGGUUUAGACGGUCCGGUACACCGGCGAAUAGCCAAUCAAUCUGUCUUGGCCUGGAGCAAAACAAAUCAUUCAGUUUGUAGGAUUCACUUCCCUAAAAAAGGAAGAUACAGCAUAACAAUGAAUCUAAACUCGAUCGCUAUCUCAAAUUACUUCCAUAUCAUGAGAUUAAUCCGGAUUACUCUCUAGACUUAAGGUUCUUGGUCCAGUAUAUUAGUUUGGAUGAGAAAAUGGAAUUGAAAUAAGAUUAUCAUCGAUGAUGUUUUCACUUAUAUGGUAGCUACCGACAUAAAUGAAAAGCGACAAUAUCAAACUGUGUUCCGUUGAUUAAGUGACAAUGUAGAACUGAUUGGACAACUAAAGUUACAAUCUAGGUCAAAUUCCUUACCAAAGUCUGUAUUGGACCUGUCGUUCCUACACUGCCCAAGGUAACCCUGUUGUGUUACAAGUGAAAAAGGAAGCGUUAUGAGAUGAAUGAAAUAAUGCAAUAUGAUGCACGCCUUGCGGCGCAAGGUUUCUCUUAAACGUCAUGUGAUUGAUAGCAGCAUUAUGAAAUGUGGUUAGUGUUUUCUCCAUGGGGAUAUAGAUACUGAGAUUUACAUGUAAGUUCUCGAAGAAUUACAAAAACUGUUUCAAAUAGUUCCAAAACCACUGAACACCUUCUUAACUUGUUUGAGGCAUUCACUUACAAUUUGACGAAUUUGGUAUACUUGUCUAAGUGAUUAUUUGAUCAGUUAGGGAUGAAUUAUGCCUUUGCGUGUUAAACUAUGAAAUCUUAUUCCAAAUUGCUAGAGUUAUAGUUUAUGUCGUUAACACGAAUUUCACUAAGACUUCUGAAGAGUUUGAGCAAACUGCCUCACACCUGAAAAUGGAAUUUGAGAUGAAGGAUCUUGGGAAACUCAAUUGUGCCUUGACCUGAAGUUAAAGCAUUGUUCUAACAGUAUUUUGGUCUACCAGUCGAACUACACCCCGAAUGGGUCACAUUUGAGUAUACCUUUGAUCGUCCAUACGUUAUAUGCAAAUGAGACCCUUGAAGAGGUUAUAGAAUUCGAUAUUCCAUAUCUAAAUUCAACUUUACGAUUCGUUGUACUUAGCUCAUUAUAUUUAGACAGGACAUCUCCUUCAUUGUUGAUCUUGGUAAAGAUGCAGCAUCGCGCCUACACAAGGCAAAAUCCCAAAAUGUUAUAUCUUUACCAUUAGGGAUAUCGCAAUAUCUUAGAGGUCCAUGAUAUGACCUUAGUUGCAAAAUCUUCGAAUUGUUCCAAGACUCACCUACUUCACUACGCCACAAGUGAGACAUGGUUAGGAGUUCUUGUUGAGCAUAUUCGAAGUACUUGCUGUAUUUUUCAUCCAUCGUUGAGUCCCGACGACGAUCCAUGAAGAUUAUGCCGCAUGUAUCAACUAGACCAAGUCAUGAUACAUCAACGAAGUCAACACCAAGACAUAUUGCAUCUACAUCAGCAAAGCAUCAGGAGAUUGAAGUUAUGCAAGCCGAUCCUGACAACCUUGCCAACCUCUACACGACGUCACUGCCGAAAUCAACCUUCCAGAAGCUUGUCCGAGGAAUUGGUAUGCCUAACUAUCAUAUGCAAUGCUUAUAUUUCUCAUUUGGAAGUUAUGUUAAACUCAGGAGGAGUAUCCAGAAGUAUACUCACUUGAUCUUAAUGUACACUUUUUCCCUACGAUUAAGAGCAUUUUUCCCACUGGUUUUUGCUACCUAACUAUGUUUUAACAAGGCACCCAUCCUGGGCUGAUCAUACCCUUGUGAGGUCUUCUACUUGCGUCCAAAAUACGUAUAGUUUUGACUUAAUGCAACUUCUCAUUUUUCUCCUUAGACUAUGGGUUUUUCUCCCACCUUGGGUUUUACCAUAACGAGGUUUUGUGAGUUUUACUUUUUAUGCAUUCUUCCGUUGAUCUGAGACUCGCAUUCGCACAUUGUGCUGAUGACUUCAUCAACUAUACUUGCUUCAUCACUGAAGACCUGAUGCACCAUUUACUUGAGUAUUUACACACUCAAUGGGGAGUGUUGUAGUCCUAUUAGAUGUGUAAAUCCUAGUAUAUCUUGGAAUAUCUCUUAUAUUCAUAUUAGGAGUUGAUUACCUACUAAAUGUUGUAAUCCUAAAGGGAAAGGUUUUUACUUGUCAUACUACUAUAAAUAAAGGCACAAUGGGGUGGAACGGAACACACCCACAAUUACACAUCUCUCUCUUCUCUCUCUAUGCCACACCAUCUCUCUCUAUAUGACCUCCAUAAUUGUUCAGUAAAUUAUGCCUACAACAGAUAUAUUAUUAUUUCUUCCAUGUCACAGGUCUUAGUUUAUUAGCAACUAGCACGGACCCAACUAUUUUUGUCAGUGGCAGAGGCAGGAUUUGAAUUCACUAGGGCCAUGAUAAAGAAGUAGAUGUGGUAGUGUUUUGUUAUUUAGAUAUAUAAUUCAUGACUUGUCCUUAUAAUUUUUUUUUAUAAAUAAAAUGUAUUGAUGAGAAAAUGAGAGUUGUCCUUAUAAUUUGAACUUGUUGAUUAAUAGUGUCAUUAUUUAUUUAACACAUACACCUAAAUUAUAACCAUAUAGUGAUCUUAAUUGUAUAAUAUUAGAUUUUUUUCCCACUUAAGCAACAUCAACCGUUAAUUUGACUGCAAUAAGUAAAUACACCAACUAUUGUAAAAGGUUAUUGAUCAAUCCUUUCAAUUGAUUGAACUCACUACGAAAUACUGUUGAUUACUAGAGUGUUUACAUAAAUAAUGGAAAUCAACCAUAAUACUAUGUUUGGAUGAAGGAAAUAAACUUGGAAUUUGGAUAAAAGUCAAAAUUUAUAAAUUAACAUGCACCAAUUCUCUUGUUUGGAUUUAUAAACAUAGAAAUUUAGAAUUUCUGCGUGAAAAAAAAAACUUGGAAUUUGGGGCCUCCAAUUCCCAAGUUUAAAUUCCAUAUAAGUAGGUGUCAUUUCUCAAUUUCUAUGAUUGAGAGUUUAAAAUUAACAAAUUCCAUUAUCAAUUCCACUGUUCUUUUAGGUUAACCAAAUAAGAAAAUUCACAAAUUCUAGAAAAUAAAAUCUCGACAUUUCAAUUUUUGUCAUUUUAAAAUUACUUAGUAAUCUUAAAUUUCUUUAUCAAGCAUAGUGUACGUUAAUUGUUGAAGUUCCUAUUUGGAUAUCUAGAUCAAUAGAAUAUAUAGUUCAGUUCAUCCGCCACUUGCUCAUUUGUUGUGAUUCCGAAUUAUGAUUGCAAACUAAUGUUUAUUAGCUACCUUGAUUUGAUUGUUGAUUGAAAAUGUUUAUUAGCCACUUGCUGACAUAGGUCUUAGUUCACUUGCUGGCAUAGGUCUUUAGUUCACUUGCUGGCGUAGGUCUUUGUCUAGGCCUCUCAUUUUUUUUUAUAGGAACUUUGACGAAAAGCUCCAGGUAAUGUUCACUUUAACGAAAAAUCACAUUUUUACACUAAAAAGUUAAUCAUGGUACUAUUUAUUUUACCCUUUAUUUUGUCAUUAUCUUUAAAACUCAAAGUUUUCAAGUUAUUUUCAUUAAUAGCCACUUGCCAAUGACAGUGAUGAGAGAUUUUUUAGGACUAAGAUUCUCUCUUUCUUUUUCUAUCCCCUUCCUUUUCUUCCUCUUAUAUUCUUUAUUUUAUCUUUCUUUUUUUAUAAAAAAAAAUUAGGGUAUUUGUUUACUACCCUCAUGUUUCGUGGUUUUCAACAUUUAGUACAUCAAGUUUUUUUUCAUCCCAGAGUCAUACUUGUUACAAUGUGCCUAGACACCUUGCCAUUAUUCUCACCAACCAGGUGAUGAAAUGUAAAGAAGGAACUCAUCUUCAUGCUACCAACCAGGUGAUGAAAUGUACAACCCGUACUCUCCUUUAUGCCACCAACCAGGUGAAGAAGGAACUCAUCUUCAUUCCACCAACCAAGUGAUGAAAUGUACAACCCGUACUCUAAUAUCAUUUGGCAACUUGCCAUUCAUGCCACCAACUAGGUGAUGCAAUGUGAUGAAAGGUGAUAAAGGAACUCACCUUCGUACCACCAACCAAGUGAUGAAAGCAACUCACCAUUUAUUCCACCUACUAGAAGACGAAUGGUAUAACUUGUACAUGUGAACUUCUAGCAUUCACAAAUAAUAAAAAACCCUCAAGCUUGACAACUCAACUAGGGGAGCACUUAUGCCCAACAAGAGUUAUAGUCACAAACAAAGUCUUAUUGCAAGCCAACAACAACUUCAGUGCAUGACAUACGAAUAUCAAGCUAUUCAACCCUAUUGCAUCUGCUUCAGACAUUUCCCCUCUGUAACAAUGCAAACACUACAACUCGUAGAAAGCUUCACACACUCUUGAUCAAGACAGUGUGAAGCAAAACCAAUUAAUGGUGCCAACAAGAGCUUCAUCAAAGAAGUUCAACCACAAUUCUCAAAAGCUUCAUACACUCUUGAUCAAGACAGUGUGAAGCAAAACCAAUUUAUGGUGCCAACAAGAGCUUCAUCAAUGGAGGGCAACCACAAUUCAAAAAAGCUUCACACACUCUUGAUCAAGACAGUGUGAAGCAAAACCAAUUUAUGGUGCCAACAAGAGCUUCAUCAAUGGAGGGCAACCAUAAUUCUCAAAAGCUUCACACACUCUUAAUCAAGACAGUGUGAAGCAAAACCAAUUUAUGGUGCCAACAAGAGCGUCAUAAAUGGAGGCCAACCACCAUUCUCAAAAGCUUCACACACUCUUAAUUAAGACAGUGUGAAGCAAAACCAAUUUAUGAUGCCAACAAGAGCUUUAUCAAAUGAGGGCAACCACAAUUCUCAAAAGCUUCACACACUCUUGAUCAAGACAGUGUGAAGCAAAACCAAUUUAUGGUGACAACAAGAGCUUCAUCAAUAGAGGGCAACCACAAUUCUCAAAAGCUUCACACACUCUUGAUCAAGACAGUGUGAAUCAAAACCAAUUUAUGGUGCCAAUAAAAGUCUCAUCAAAAGAGUUCAACCACAAUUCUCAAAAGCUUCACACACUCUUGAUCAAGACAGUGUGAAGCAAAACCAAUUUAUGGUGACAACAAGAGCUUCAUCAAUAGAGGGCAACCACAAUUCUCAAAAGCUUCACACACUCUUGAUCAAGACAGUGUGAAUCAAAACCAAUUUAUGGUGCCAAUAAAAGUCUCAUCAAAGGAGUUCAACCACAAUUCUCAAAAGCUUCACACACUCUUGAUCAGGACAAUGUGAAGCACAACCAAUUUAUGGUGUCAACAAAAGCCUCAUCAAAGGAGUUCAAUCACAAUUCUCAAAAGCUUCACACACUCUUGAUCAAGACAGUGUGAAGCAAAACCAAUUUAUGGUGCCAACAAAAGUUUCAUCAAUGAAGGGCAAUUACAACUCGUAGAAAGCUUCACACACUUUUGAUCAAGACUGUUUGAAGCAAAUUCAAUUUAUAUGGUUCAUCCAAACCUUCGACUACUACAAGGUGUUUUGCAUCACAAUCUCUUGCUUAACAGUGUGGAAGCAAAAUUUGUAUAUGUUGUCUCUCUCACAUUUUCAAAUUUCUAAUUUUAACAAAAAAAAAAAAAAAAAAGAAAGGAAAUUGGGAAUUCAACAAAGUUUCACCACAAAAGCUUCACCAACAAAAGCUUCAUUCAUCAAUGGAGGACAACUAAAAAUUCUUAAAAGCUUCACACUAUCUUGAUCAAGAUAGUGUGAAGCAAAAUCAAUUCAUGGUAGCCAACAAAGCUUCACCACAAAAGCUUCAUCAAUGGAGGAUAACUACAAAUUCUCAAAAGCUUCACACUAUCUUGAUCAAGAUAGUGUGAAGCAAAAUCAAUUCAUGAAACCCAACAAAAGCUUCAACUCCAAAGCUUCACCUACAAAGCUUCAACUCUAAAGCUUCACCCACCCACAAAAGCUUCACCUACAAAAGCUUCACCGAUAAAAGCUUCACUAACAAAAGCUUCACCCACAAAAGCUUCACCCACCACAAAAACUUCACCUACAAUAGCUUCAUCUACAAAAGCUUCACCCACAAAAGCUUCACCCACAAGCUUCACCCACAAAAGAUUCACCCACUACAAAAGUUUCAUCCAUAAAAGCUUCACCCACAAAAGCUUCCCCCACCACAAAAGCUUCACCCAUAAAAGAUUCCCCCACCACAAAAGCUUCCCUCACAAAAGCAUUCCCCACCACAAAAGUUUCACCCACAAAAACUUCCCCCACCACACAAGCUUCACCCACCAUAAAAGCUUCAACACAAAAGCUUUACUUACAAAAGCUUCACACUAUCUUGAUCAAGAUAGUGUGAAGCAAAAUCAAUUCAUGGUAUCCAACAAACCUUUAACCUCAAAGCUUCACCUACAAAGCUUCACCUAUAAAGCUUAAUAUAUAUAUAUAUAUAUAUAUAUAUAUAUAUAUAUAUAUAUUUUUUUUUUGGAAAUUCAAAAAUUCGGAAAUUUGUAAAUUCAGAAAUUCAAAAAUUUGAAAAUUCCAAAAAAAAAAAAUGCCUAGGCCUCAUCUUCUUUAGACCUAACAACUUUCAUAACAAAUAUAUAUAAAGUAGGAGUUUUGGGCUACCACUUAGAAAGGAAAAUGGUGAAAUUUUGUUACUUUGGAAACUUGGCUACUAGCAAGACACCUCCUUCGUCAACUCCCUCGACUGGAGACUUGGGGGACUUCUACCAUAUGCUACUGCACCUUGAUACUCGGAAGUCUCACGACUACUUAGUGAGUUGGCUUUUUUCAAGUCUCUAACCGAAAAGUUUUCCUCACUCGGGAAAUUAAGGGAGCACUACCUCAACCUACAUGCUUCACUCAUAAAGCUUCAACAUACAAGCUUUAACAAAAAGAAAAAUUCAAAGAAUUUAGUGAAGAAGGCCUUGGUGUAUUUAACACAAUACGUUGAAAUAAAGCAAAGCUUGUUUAUUGAUAUCUCCGAUAAGUUACAAAUAUGUACAUAUACAUGAAUCAAAAUAAACAAACAAGAGGGAGCAUUCACAAAGGUUGCUCAGGAGAAGUCUCAGCAGUCUGCAGAGCCCCAGAAAGAAGAGGCACCAGAGGGUGAUUAUUCGGAGCCUCAGUACUAGGCAGAACCCUAGAAGAAUGAAGCACUGAAGGUUGAUCAUUUAGAGCUUCAUUACGCGAUACAGCCCUAGAAGACGAAGGCAAUAAUUGUCUUUGGAACAAACCCACAAACCUCUGAUAAUCAAGUAAAAUCUGACCAUCAGAUUCCUGCAAUUGGUCGAGCUUCCUCUUCAUGUUUGUAGCAUAGUCAUGUGUGAGCAUGUGCAAUUGUUUAUUCUCAUGCUUGAGCCCUCUAAUCUCCUGUUUGAGACUUAUCACUUUAGUCGCCAAUGAUUCAACUUGGCGGGUUCGAGCAAAUAGGCUUUGGGCCAUAUUCGACACAGAACCUGCACAUUGAACAUUGAGAGCCAGAGAAUCCUUAACAGCCAACUUAUCAGACCGUUUGGAAAGUAGUCUGUUAUCUUUGGGAGUGAGAAAGUUCUUGGCCACCACCCCAGCGGUCAUAUCAUUCUUCAUCACAGAGUCCCUAAUGGUAAGAGGACCAGUAGGGGAUAAGAAGGAUUGGCGUCAUAUGUUGUCUUGAGAAGGCAUGUCUGCCUCUUCACCAAAGUUCAAGUCAAAACGACGGUCGGAUGGGCCAGACAUUCUCAGAAAUGAUGAAGGAGAAAUGAGGUGCAAUAAAUCUCUGAAGUAAAGGGAAAAUUCCUACAAGCAAUAACUCUUUAAAUGUACUUCUUGCACACAAUUGGUUCCCUUAUAAAAGAAAGGGCAACAAGGUCGUUGGUUCAAAAAUCGAAAAGGCAACACUCUCUGGAUUCCGAAGAAGCACCACUUUCCACACGCAACAUCAGCUCCUCGGGUACCACAGAUAACUUUGCCAAAGAUCUCUGACAAAGUUUAAACACAUAAAUUUUGAAGGUCCAACUACCCUACUAUUACCCACAAGGGUAAAGGAACAACAUCACUGCUUGAUAACUAGAAAAUCCCUAUAUGUGUCAACCUCUGUGCUCCGUGGCAAGGCAGACUAGCAAAAAUGCCCAACCUUUACUAACAUUCGAGAAAACACUCCCAACAGGAUUACUUUCUCAAAAAUUGAAGAGACACUGCUCUCUGAAUCUCAAGAGUCAGACUCCCAACAAGAUUGCUUUCUCAAAAAUUGAAGAGGCACCGUUCUCUGAAUCUCGAGAGCCAGAUCCCCGACAAGAUUGCUUGUUCGAAAAUCGAAGAGGCACCGCUCUCCGAACUUCGAGAGCCAGAUUUCCUUGCAUAAAGCUUUUCUGUAAUCUUCACACAUCAACUUUCCAGAUACCACAUACCACUUUUUCAAAGUGCUCUGACAAAGUUAAAACACGUGAAGCUUGUAGCUCUUACUACAUUGCUAUGACCAAGAAGGGUAAAGGAAUAACACUACUACUUGUUGUUAGGGAGACUCCUAUAUAUGUCGACCUUCAUCCCCCACAGCCAGGAAAACCUGCAAAUAUAAAAAAAUGCUCAACUUUUCUUCACAUCCGAGAGGGCACUCUCAGCAGAAUCUCUCGAAAUACUCAGCUUCUUUUCCUUCCAAUAAUACCUCUGCAAACAAGCCACACCAAAGCAAGAGUAUCUCAUACAUCAAGGUUAAAAGCAAGAGUAUCCCAUAUCAUGAUUUUUCCCUGUCUUUUCCUUUGGCCUUGUUCUUACCUGGAAGACAAGGAGAAAGAGAGCAAUCAGUCAGCACUUAGAUUCAAGCUUCCAGUCAGGAAUUGAUUGCUUGGAACCCCUUGCCUGAUUACUUACCUGGCAUUGCUCUCGAGUACUCAUCUUCAACAUCUUAUGCUUCCAGAGAAAAUACCAUAUCUGCCUGAGGAACAGAUAAGACAAGUAAGAAGGAUACAAAGAAGCAUGUGGAGACAAGACACGUGCCGAUACAUCCAUUACUUUGUCAACAGCAAAAGUAUCCCAUAUCAUCAGGGUCGAAUGUACUCUAGAUUUGAUGGACUUGUUUUGACCCUCAAAUUCUUGAGUUAGCCUUAUACUCUAAAGGAAACCAGAAAACCCUCCAGCUCAGUUCAAGAAUAAGUCUGUGGAAAGUUACUUCUUCAAAAGCAAAAGUAUCUCAUAUCAUCUCUUCUCCAUUUGCUUCUCCUUAUCUUUGUUGUUGUUUACGACACAAUGAGAAGGAGAAUAAUCAACUGAAAGCUGAAGUCAAACCUCCGAUCCAGGUUGCUUGCUUGGAAGUCUGAUUGCUUACCUUGUCCAUUACUCAUUCGGCAAAUCUCCUAGCUCGAUGACUUGGGGGACUCCUACUAUAGGGUUUAUAUCGCAUUUGACCAAGCCCAAGACUACAAGUAAGCUUCAAGUGAAAUUGAAACAUUACUUUGUGCAUCUUCAUCGGUUAAAGAUACCACCCUUGGAUGGAGGAAAAGUACUUCCAGAAAAGAUGCCACAUUUACAUAUGAGACAGAUAAGGCAAGUGAAAAUGAUACCACACUUCGGUACUUAGAAGUUUCGUGAUUACUUAAUGGCUUGGAUCUUGCAAGUCCUCAACCGAAGAGUUUCCCUUACUCGGGAACUUACGGGAGCACUAUUUGUACCAUACUUGACCAAUCCCGAAACUACUGAGCACCAGUCAACGUUAUACCGUCAAGGACCCAGAAGAGUUUCCCUCCAACCAAGAGGCCAAUCACAGCGCGACACGUGUCGACAUCAGAAGCCAAUCAUAGCACGACACGUGUCAACAUCAGAAGCCAAUCAUAACACGACACGUGUUAAUGUCAGAAUGAAACUAGAAACUCUCUUCUAUAAAUAGAGAUCAUUCUCUCACAAUAUUUCCUAAUGUCAUUUGUACUAAAUCAUUCACUAGUACUCACUAAAGGAGAUCUUAAACCUAUGUACUUGUGUAAACCCUUCACAAUUAAUGAGAACUCCUCUACUCCGUGGACGUAGCCAAUUUCAGUGAACCACGUACAUCUUGUGUUUGCUUCCCUAUCUCUAUCCAUUUAUAUACUUAUCCACACUAGUGAUUGGAGCAAUUUAGCGAAGGUCACAAACUUGACACUUUCUGUUGUACCAAAGUUCUCACUGAUUUUGUGCAUCAACACAUUGUAAGUUGUGUUGUAAAUUAAGUGGCUAGGUGGAACAAUUGUCAUUUAAUAUGUUUCGGUGGCUUAGGGAGUUGUAUUUGCAUUGAUGAAGAUGUUUUGGCACACUAGUAUAUUAGGGAAGGAGUUUGAUAUGCUAAAAGAGACAAUUUGGAAUUAUAAUUUUAUGGUAAUGAAGAAUUGAGCAUUGCUCUUCUAUCAUUCCUCUAUCUCUUUGUCGUUUUGCAUUACAUACAGUUAUGAGUUCGAAUAUAUUGGCGUCAGUUUCUUGCAAUUAGGUUUUAACUUUUAAGGUAUACCACAUCUUUUUUUUUUUUUGAGUUAAAAUUCGUCUUUUCAAUUUGAUUGGUAUAUUUCAGCUUGUUUCCUUAGUUUUAUGUUCUAAUUUCUUUUCUUUUAUUGCUAUUUUGUCAUUGAAUUUCAAUUUUUGGUGAGGGAAUCAUAGUGGUUGUUUGGCCUUAGGAUCUACAGUAUAAUAAAGUAUUAUUAUUUUGUAAAAUUGUUUAACCCAAAAGGAUGGAAGUUCCCAUCAGGCUACCUACAAAUUAGGAAGAAACCGAAUUAGGUUUGGUGUGUAUGUUUAAAGUUGUCGAAAUAGGGCUUGGCUUGAAGACUUGGUUUAUUGGAUAGAAGAAGAAGAUGAAGAAGAGAUGGUGAGGGAGCAUCCCAAUAACACGAGUUUUAAUUUUAUGGGUAUUUAGGUCAAUUCAAUCAGAUUUUUGGCUAUAUUUGAAAGAAUUUGUUAAAAUUGACAUUUGUCAAUUUAGAUGGUAAAUUUUGGUUAUAAUUGAUAAAUACUCGGGUCUUGCCAAGAACUUCUAGUGAGGCCGAUAGUUCACGUGAAUCCCCCCUAGUCUCAUUUAACUCAAUCCCAACAUAGACCAAACAUGGGACUACACUACUAAGGAGUCUAGUCCAGUCUAAUCCCACCUAAUGAGGCCAAACAAAAAUACCCUUAAUGAGUUAAAUAACUAUUUAUUGAGUUUGAAUACUUGGAUGUUAACUAAAAACAUUGCACAUGGCAAUUUGUGAUUGAACCGAGUAAGGAGCUCUUCAGUCAUGGCCUUGAGCCAUAUUCUCAAAUAAAACUAAUAGUUGUAGCAAAUUCGAAUCAACAUCAAUAAUAUCAAUAUCAGUCAUAUUUAAUAAAUUGUAAUUUGAAUUCGCAUAUAUAUUAAUAAACCUAAGAAAAAUCAAGGGUCGAAAUCAUUUCAAUAUCUAUUCCACAUAAAUAAACCAUUUUUUAAGGUAAUUUUUUGUCUUUAAAAAAAGACGUAACAUGUUCAUGUGGGUUUGAACAAGUCUAAGCAACACUCAGUUGCAAGUCCUCUAUUCCAGAAUUUUUCGAAGUAUUCAGCAUAUGUGAAGUUUCUGAACAUGGCUGGAUGGUCAUGGUUGAUGAGCUCCCUGGCAGGCCCAAUCAUUGCAUCUGGUGCUGGACAGUAGAAAGUUGGGAUCGAUAUCCUCUCCGAAUUACAAUUUACCACAGCCCUAUGCAGCACACUCUUGUACCUACUGUUGCUAAUUACCUAAUACCAAUUAAAAUGGUAAAAAAAGUUAAACUUCAAUUAACAGUUUACUCAUGUACAUGUCACAAAAAUUUUGUCCCACUACUUGGAAAAGUUUCCCUUGCUAGGGAUAAAUGAGUUUAACCAUCCCAGAGCGUGAUGCAAUCAUCUAUUAUUUCUCUCCUCAUGUAACAAAUUACGUGAGAACAAAGAUAAAAAAAAAUUAAGAUUUCACGCACACCGUGACAGAGAUAAAUUAGCUAAUGAAAAAUAUUUUGGGAGACUUUUUGACAUGCUUUUAGAAAUUCUAUGCACUAGAUCAUAGAUGGUCUUUUAGCCAUUAGAUACUUCAUUGUGAAUCCAAUAACUAAAAUUUAAUGGCCAAAAAUCUCGCUUAAUAGGAUACACUGAAACAUAGUAAAAUUUUCGAUAUUUAGACGGAUAUAAUGUAUACCUGCAUCAUAUCACCAAUAUUGACAAUGAAAGUGUUGGGAAUGGGGUUGACAGCAACCCACUUGCCAUUUCUAAGGACCUGCAACCCAGGCACCUCAUCUUGGAGAAGGAUGGUAAUUAGGUUAGCGUCAGUAUGUCCAGGCAAUCCAUAAGUCAGCUCUGGCUGUGGACAUGGUGGAUAGUAAUUCAAAGCCAUAUGCUGUCCUUGCUUUCCCAAUGCCUUAACAAUAUAGUUCUUUUCCAAGCCCAAGCUCUCUGAUAUGGCCUCAAGCAAUCUCAGCACUAAUCCUCUCACACUUGUGCAGUACUCACCCACUUGCUCCCUGUGAACAAACAAAGUGCCAGCUCAUUCAAUUGUAUGACUUAAUUUAUUAAUAAAAUAACUCUUGCAGAGCAAUGUUUUCUUGUCACACUGUAAAUUUAGAUCAUUAGUUGGUUUUUUGUCAAAAUCUCUAGUUCAUAUUCAAUUUUGACAUGAGCAUUUGUUUCGCAAACAAAGGAGCGCCGCACCCCUAUUUAACUAAGUUAAUGAAUUUAAUUUGGAUAAUAUGCUCUUGUUAGACUAUGUAUAUCUGUUUAGAUUCUGACAAAUAUAAGUCUGGUAAGAGAACGUUAGUCGGUUUGAAUAUUUGAGUACUAACAGAAGACGAUGAGAAAGAGGCACCCCCUAUUUACCUGAACAACGGGGGAUUGUUAGGCCAUUCUUGGACAUAGUCUUGAAGUGGGAAGCAAUGCAAUCUAAGGAAGUCCCUCCAGUUGGACAAUUUUUCAGUCCUGACAUUGAAACUGGUGGAGAGCCUGGUGGUCUUAAAAGGGUCAUCUGAGUACAUCUUCAACCUCUCACUUUCUGGAAAUUUGAAAAACUCUCUUGCUAUACUCAACAUGUUUUUUAUCAUUGUCUCUGGAACUCCAUGAUUUUUCACCUGGUAAUAAAAAGGUUGGUGCAUAAUUUAGUUAUUUUAUAUAAGGGACACUUUGAAUGCGGUCCUUAACUACCAAUGUUCUUUGAUUGAAACCUUGGUGGUUUUUAACUUUUGAUUGAAGUCCCUCACAUUAAUGUAAUUGUCACAUCCCGGCCUGGGGUGGACCACUUCCUGGGCCCGCUCCACCACCGUAGCACGAUAUUGUCCGCUUUGGGCUUACCAUUCCCUCACGGUUUUAUUUUUGGGAACUCACGAGCAACUUCUCAGUGGAUCACCCAUCCUGGGAGUGUUCUAGCCUCCUUCUCGGUUAACUUAGGAGUUCCUAUGGAACCCGAAGCCAAUGAGCUCCCAAAAGGCCUCGUGCUAGGUAGGGAUGAGAAUAUACAUUUAAGGAUCACUCCCCUUGGCGAUGUGGGAUGUUACAGUAAUAAUAUAUUUUUAUGUAGGUUAUUAUAUUUUUAAAUUAAAAAUAUAAUUUGUAGUUAUUUAUAUUAAUGAGAUUUUAAAUGAAACCCAUAUUUUAUGGGAUUAAAAAUAUUAAAGAUGAAUUAUACUCUCCAAUAUAUUUUGUGUGUGUGUGUGUGUGUAUGUAUACAUGUGUGUGUGUAUAUAUAUAUAUACAUGGGUACGUUCAUCAAAACUAACCAAAAAAUUAUUGUACCAAAGCAUAGGUACAUUUUUCAAAAGCACAAAAAAAAAAGCCUUAAUAACAUUAUUAAAUUUCUUCUAUUAAACUUGACAUGGAUACAUUCUCAAAUUAACGAAAAUAGAAUGUAUCCAUAUAAGUUUAAAAAUGGAUUAGAGAAAAGAUUGAAUGAAAUUUUAUAUAAAAAAAAAAAAGGUACAUUUUUAACAUAUUGGUAUAUUUAAGAAUGGAUACAUAUAAGCUUAAAAAAUUGAAAUUUUUUUUAUAAAAAUUUAAUGGGUACAAACUUAUUCUAAUUUUAUUUAUUUUUAUUUGGGAAAUGUUUGAAUUGAAAAUUAAUUAGGAGUUUAAUAAGGGUGUGAGUAUUAAAACUCUAAAUCAAUUACUUUUUUUUUUAUAAAAAUUAUGUAACUUACAUGUAAUUCAUUAAUAUAUUAAUGAUAGGAACUUUGAUCAAAAUCUAAAAACUGAUAAGGUCUUAGUUAAUGGACAUUAGAUACUAGGGACUGGAAACUAAUUUUUCCUUUAUAUAAUAAGGCUAAUAGCACUCAUAUACAUACUCAGACUAAACAUGUAAUUAAGUAUAAAGUUGUCCGAAGUAUAUACAUAUGUGUGUGUGCGCAUGUGUGCUAAUUAUUACCUGGAAGAAACCAUCAGUUUGGCAUGCUAGACCAAUCUGUUGGAUAAUAUCAGAGUGCUUGGGGCUAUGGAGGUCCUUGAGAUCAAUGAGAGGAAUGGAGGAGGCAUCUGAUGUCUGAACAUCAGUGAGAUUUGGACGGUCGGAGAAGGGUCUGAUGUAGUUUGAAGGGACAUGGCUCAUACCAGACAUGAGGUCUGUGAGCAGUAGCUUUGUUGUGGAAGCCAUUUUGCUUACGACUGAAGAGAAAAGUUGCAAAACUAAGGAAACUUGCAGGUUUAGUGAACGGGGCUUUGGAUCCCUAUCCAUUUUUAUAGAAUAUGAGGAAGCACUAUUAUAUAG
Molecule: long non-coding RNA, 39265 nt
Filed under: Malus domestica (apple)
Lineage: Eukaryota; Viridiplantae; Streptophyta; Magnoliopsida; Rosales; Rosaceae
Description: long non-coding RNA (MDOM_LNC006211)
Source: RNAcentral